Molecule: ribosomal RNA, 449 nt
Filed under: uncultured bacterium
Lineage: Bacteria
Description: bacterial SSU rRNA
Rfam family: Bacterial small subunit ribosomal RNA
Source: RNAcentral
CCCAGACUCCUACGGGAGGCAGCAGUGGGGAAUAUUGCACAAUGGGGGGAAACCCUGAUGCGGCGACGCCGCGUGAGUGAAGAAGUAUUUCGGUAUGUAAAGCUCUAUCAGCAGGGAAGAAAAUGACGGUACCUGAUUAAGAAGCCCCGGCUAACUACGUGCCAGCAGCCGCGGUAAUACGUAGGUGGCAAGCGUUAUCCGGAUUUACUGGGUGUAAAGGGCGUGUAGGCGGGGACGCAAGUCAGAUGUGAAAACCACGGGCUCAACCUGUGGCCUGCAUUUGAAACUGUGUUUCUUGAGUACUGGAGAGGCAGACGGAAUUCCUAGUGUAGCGGUGAAAUGCGUAGAUAUUAGGAGGAACACCAGUGGCGAAGGCGGCUUACUGGACUGUAACUGACGUUGAGGCUCGAAAGCGUGGGGAGCAAACAGGAUUAGAGACCCCAGUAUUG